GAUGAACGCUAGCGGGAGGCCUAACACAUGCAAGCCGAGCGGUAGAGUCUCUUCGGAGACUUGAGAGCGGCGCACGGGUGCGGAACACGUGUGCAACCUGCCUUUAUCUGGGGGAUAGCCUUUCGAAAGGAAGAUUAAUACCCCAUAAUAUACUGGAUGGCAUCAUCUGGUAUUGAAAACUCCGGUGGAUAGAGAUGGGCACGCGCAAGAUUAGAUAGUUGGUGAGGUAACGGCUCACCAAGUCAGCGAUCUUUAGGGGGCCUGAGAGGGUGAUCCCCCACACUGGUACUGAGACACGGACCAGACUCCUACGGGAGGCAGCAGUGAGGAAUAUUAGACAAUGGGUGAGAGCCUGAUCCAGCCAUCCCGCGUGAAAGACGACGGCCCUAUGGGUUGUAAACUUCUUUUGUAUAGGGAUAAACCUAGAUACGUGUAUCUAGCUGAAGGUACUAUACGAAUAAGCACUGGCUAACUCCGUG
This 479-nucleotide ribosomal RNA is filed under the name uncultured bacterium. Its description in RNAcentral is "partial 16S ribosomal RNA". It matches the Rfam family "Bacterial small subunit ribosomal RNA", at positions 28 to 507 of the family's 1533-position model. The record is from RNAcentral.